This 483-nucleotide ribosomal RNA is filed under the name uncultured bacterium. RNAcentral describes it as "partial 16S ribosomal RNA". It matches the Rfam family "Bacterial small subunit ribosomal RNA", at positions 28 to 507 of the family's 1533-position model. The record is from RNAcentral.
GACGAACGCUGGCGGCGUGCUUAACACAUGCAAGUCGAACGCUGAAGCUCAGCUUUUGUUGGGUGGAUGAGUGGCGAACGGGUGAGUAACACGUGAGUAACCUGCCCCCUUCUUUGGGAUAACGCCCGGAAACGGGUGCUAAUACUGGAUAUUCACUGGUCUUCGCAUGGGGGUUGGUGGAAAGGGUUUUUCUGGUGGGGGAUGGGCUCGCGGCCUAUCAGCUUGUUGGUGGGGUGAUGGCCUACCAAGGCUUUGACGGGUAGCCGGCCUGAGAGGGUGACCGGUCACAUUGGGACUGAGAUACGGCCUAGACUACUACGGGGGGCAGCAGUGGGGAAUAUUGCACAAUGGGCGAAAGCCUGAUGCAGCGACGCCGCGUGAGAGAUGGAGGCCUUCGGGUUGUGAACCUCUUUCGCUCAUGGUCAAGCCGCAACAAUAGUUGUGGUGAGGGUAGUGGGUAAAGAAGCGCCGGCUAACUACGUG